UUUUUUUUACAUGCACGUUUACAUGUUUAUUAUAUUUUAAAAAUAAUUAGCACAAUAAUAAUUUUAGUACCUAUAUUACUAUAACAACAGCUUAUAUAUUGAAUAAUUCACAUAAUUCAUUAUGGACGACAUUUAACUUGGAAAUAAUUGCUAACGUCUUAUUAUUCUGUAUUUAAUUGGAUAGUAUUUUAAUUUAAAUUAAUACUUUACAAUAUGAGACAGAUAUUUAUAAUAAUAAAUAUAAUAAAAUAGUAGGCUUAUAAAUUAAAAUGUAAAACACUCUAAGAAAAUAUCAAAACAUGAGUAACAAACAGCAUUAUAGUAAAAUAAUCACUCGUAAUACAUUUUAUUUAUCAAUAGACUUUUUUUAAUGUACAUAUAUAUAUAUAUAAAUAUGAAUUAUUAAAAUAUACCUAAGCAAGUUUAAUGGAUUAAUUUAAUUAUUCUAAAACUUGAACGUAAAUUAAAGCAAAUUGUUUUCAAUUCAUAAAGAAAUCACAUUUUACAGUAGUUAUUUAAUAAUAAUAAUAAAAUUUAAAUGAUGCAUCAAUCAGUACAUUUAUAAUCAAUAUUCCUAACUUAUUAGUCUUUUUAUUAAUAUUAUUUAUGUUUACAAAAUGACAAAUAUUUAGGUACAUAGUUAACUCUGAAAAUGCAUUAAAUAAAAAACAUUACUAUAGAUAGUAAGAUAUUGAAAUUUGUAGGUAUGAAUAUCCUAACAAUCGUGGAAUACAUAUAAAAAAUAUUUUUCAACUGAUAUCACCUAGCACUGUUUCAAUAGCAAGCAUUAUUUUUAGCAACUUGCAUAACCCAUCAAUAAAAAAUAUGUCUUUCUAAUUCACAUAUAAUUUAUUACAAUAUUAGAUAAACUUAUAGAAUAUGUUUACAUUAGCCAACAAAUUAAGAAUCUACUUGUGAUAUACUUAGUUUUGGAUUUAAUAAAAUUACUUAAGAAGAGAAAAAAAUGUAUAAAUUGAUGCAAUCAUAUUGGAUAAAUAAAACGUAUGCAAAAUAAAUAAUUUGUACGUACUAUAUUUUAUUGCACAAUACAGAUACAUAAAAUUAUGUAUUAAUCUUAAUAAUUUUUUUACAGAGUUACCGAGAAUAAACUGGAAUAAAAUAUGGUUUUUUAAAUAUUGUACACUGCCAAUAUGGUAUAUUAUUUUAUUAAUUAAUAAUUGGUAUGAAAUAAGUACUGAAAUUAAAUUAAAAAUACUGUUUUUGUUAUAAAUAAUACUAUUGUAGUAUAUCAUAUUAGUAUUAUUAUUUAUUACUAAAUAAAUUUAAUAAAAGUUAUUAUUACAGUUUCAAAG
Cinara cedri is the source of this 1313-nucleotide non-coding RNA. The record is from the annotation of a GenBank genome assembly. Lineage: Eukaryota; Metazoa; Arthropoda; Insecta; Hemiptera; Aphididae.